Molecule: ribosomal RNA, 506 nt
Filed under: uncultured bacterium
Lineage: Bacteria
Description: partial 16S ribosomal RNA
Rfam family: Bacterial small subunit ribosomal RNA
Source: RNAcentral
AGUGAACGCUGGCGGUAGGCCUAACACAUGCAAGUCGAACGGCAGCACAGGAGAGCUUGCUCUCUGGGUGGCGAGUGGCGGACGGGUGAGGAAUACAUCGGAAUCUACUCUGUCGUGGGGGAUAACGUAGGGACACUUACGCUAAUACCGCAUACGACCUACGGGUGAAAGCAGGGGACCUUCGGGCCUUGCGCGAUUGAAUGAGCCGAUGUCGGCUUAGCUAGUUGGCGGGGUAAAGGCCCACCAAGGCGACGAGCCGUAGCUGGUCUGAGAGGAUGAUCAGCCACACUGGAACUGAGACACGGUCCAGACUCCUACGGGAGGCAGCAGUGGGGAAUAUUGGACAAUGGGCGCAAGCCUGAUCCAGCCAUACCGCGUGGGUGAAGAAGGCCUUCGGGUUGUAAAGCCCUUUUGUUGGGAAAGAAAUCCAGCUGGCUAAUACCCGGUUGGGAUGACGGUACCCAAAGAAUAAGCACCGGCUAACUUCGUGCCAGCAGCCGCGGUAA